RNAcentral lists this long non-coding RNA (736 nucleotides) under Nicotiana benthamiana. Its description in RNAcentral is "long non-coding RNA (NBEN_LNC023138)". Lineage: Eukaryota; Viridiplantae; Streptophyta; Magnoliopsida; Solanales; Solanaceae. The record is from RNAcentral.
UCGUGGUAUCAUCACUUUUAUUGGUCGAACGAAAAGAUUUUAUUUAUCACUUGUCAAAAUUACAUCUCAAAUACAAUUCUCCAACUGUUUUUACUAUCACUUAUAUACAAUCUAAGCUAUACAUUUUCUCUAUAAAGUUUUUCUAUCCAAUCUUUCUUCUACUUGUAUGUCUUCUCCUUAAUGUUUCAAGUGCUUUGCUUACAGUCUUGCUUUAUCUGAUUAAAUUAGAUGCCCAGGUCAUAUCACCUUAUGUUCCCAUAAAGCUAAGUUUCUUGCUCUCCGUAUGUUAUAAACUACUGUAACAAUUAAAAUUUUGUUCCUGAAAAUAAUAAUCAAGACGAGAAAUAUAACGACAAACAAAAGUAUUUGUAUUUCAAUAAUAUACGCCGGUUACAAUCUUUGAACAAUCUUAAGUUUAAAAGAUGUAAUCCUUUGAUUCUUCUCCUCACGACCGCCAAUUCGAGAGCUUUGCUUGUUCUUAAAUUGAUGGACCACUUGUUGUAUGGGAUUUGACCACGAAUACGGAGCUAGGCUUUGAUCACAAACGUGGAGGGUGGAAAACUUGCGGCUCACCCCUUGAAGACGACUUCUUGCUAUGAGAAAGACUUGCGAAUCACCACUAUGGAGGAAAGCUUCAAUAUGUAUCUUUUUUGUUCCAUUGACCUUAUGGAGACCCCCUAUUUAUAGUUGUAGGGGAGGAAACUUGUAAUAAACACUUAUCUUUUUCCUCCAAUUU